This 373-nucleotide ribosomal RNA is filed under the name uncultured organism. Its description in RNAcentral is "bacterial SSU rRNA". It matches the Rfam family "Bacterial small subunit ribosomal RNA", at positions 526 to 896 of the family's 1533-position model. The record is from RNAcentral.
CAGAGGUGGCAAGCGUUGUUCGGAAUUACUGGGCGUAAAGGGCGCGUAGGUGGCCUUCUUAGUCAGACGUGAAAUCCCCGGGCUUAACUCGGGAACUGCGUCUGAUACUGGAAGGCUCGAGUUCGGGAGAGGAAUGUGGAAUUCCAGGUGUAGCGGUGAAAUGCGUAGAUAUCUGGAGGAACACCGGUGGCGAAGGCGGCAUUCUGGACCGAAACUGACACUGAUGCGCGAAAGCCAGGGGAGCAAAACGGGAUUAGAUACCCCGGUAGUCCUGGCCCUAAACGAUGAGUGCUUGGUGUGGCGGGUAUCGAUCCCUGCCGUGCCGAAGCUAACGCAUUAAGCACUCCGCCUGGGGAGUACGGUCGCAAGGCUG